RNAcentral lists this ribosomal RNA (232 nucleotides) under uncultured bacterium. RNAcentral describes it as "partial 16S ribosomal RNA". It matches the Rfam family "Bacterial small subunit ribosomal RNA", at positions 118 to 350 of the family's 1533-position model. The record is from RNAcentral.
UGGGCAACCUGCCCCUAGCUCUGGGAUAACUGCGGGAAACUGUAGCUAAUACCGGAUGAGACACGAGACUGCAUGGUCUUCGUGUGGAAAGAUUUAUCGGCUAGGGAUGGGCCCGCGGUCUAUCAGCUUGUUGGUGGGGUAAUGGCUCACCAAGGCGACGACGGAUAACCGGCCUGAGAGGGCGACCGGUCACACUGGGACUGAGACACGGCCCAGACUCCUACGGGAGGNA